UAGGAAUAAAAAAAUAAUAUAUAUAAUAAAAGAAUUGCAAGUUUAAUAAAGUACAUAUACAUAUCAUAUAUUAUAUGUUUUCAGCCUCAUCUAUUAUACUACAUUACUAUUUUACACUGCACAAGACCUAAGUCCUCCUCUAGCUCGAGACUAUUGAUUAAAAUAUUAUAUAACUCGAAUCAUAAUAUCACUGAUCUGAACUUCUUUAUAGCCUCGAACAUGCAUUUAAAACUUAAAGCCAUGGCUAGCUCCAUAUUAUCAUUCAAUAUAUAUCGAAUGAGCACGUGAUAUUCAGAAAAUUAGGUCAAGACAUAUAGACCUCUAAUCUCUUCGAUGCUCGAGUUUCACCCUUAUAAUGAUAUAUAAUCUUAUGAAAAUAUAUACCAUAGUAUAUAAUUAAUGCCCAUUACACUUGUGUACUACACUCACCUUUUCCAAAUCCCACUCUUCGAUUUCUCAAAUCAAAUUCUACCCAUAGAUUUUGCUGAUGAAAAUUGCCAAUAAUAUUACUUGCAAUACCAAGUGAUUCUGACCGUCCGAUCCCAACACAAUGGAUCCCACCCUCCACUUCAUCUAACAUCCUUUCCUUAUUGAUCAAAAUCUCAACUCCAUUUUCAAAUUGCAACGUCAUGUCACCUAUCAAUCGUCCAAUUUCCAUCGAAUGGACGCUAUCGAAACACAUGUCGAGCGCAUCACCAAACACGUAACCUCUCUUCAUUUUUCGACCAACUAACCUAACAAUUUCUUCUCGCACCUUAUUAUACGCUUCUUCCACCAAAAAAGUGUAUUCCGUGCCUGAAUCGACAAUCGUCUGACCUGAACCACCAGCAUUCGGCCGAAAAACUCUUGUAGAGAUAUUCAAUUUCUUUUCGCCAAUUUUUAUCCCUACCAUACCGACGGUGUAUGCUAGGGGGUCCAAAUUAGGCAUGCGUUGACUUUGAGGAAAAGUCAAUAAAUUCACGUAUCGAAACGUAUGUGAAUUCGGGUUUUGCCCUAGGUAGAAUGUUCCGGUAGGUUUAACCGUAUGGUUACCUUGUCGAAUCGGCACGCAAUACGAGAACUUUUGUACCUUGGCUUGGGAGGCAAAUGAGAACCUUCCAAGAUUCAUACCCAAAAUACCCUCAGCAUCAUCGGACUCGGUAGCGCAACCAAGAAUCAAAGGAGGGGUACUUUGGGAACGUGAAAAUGUAAUUUUUUCACGGACAAGAUUACCCUCAGCCAGAGUACCAUCAGCAUAAAAAUACGAGUAAUGACACAAUCGAUUUUGGUCACACGACGUUGGAAGGGUAAAAUCGGGAAUUCGCGGCUUACACAAAGGAUGACUACAAGGAAGGACGGAAAAAGAAGAGGAUAAAGAAGGAUCAAACGACGUCGUUGGCGGGGGUAUUUUUGGAAUUUUUUUAUGACACUGAAUCCAAGAAAGUUGACUACCAGUAUCCAAAACCAUUUGUUGAUUUUGUGGUGGUGUACCUAUAGGAAGUGUAAUAAUAAGAGCCAUAGAAUAUUUAAAAGUUGAUUUG
Molecule: unclassified non-coding RNA, 1520 nt
Filed under: Hevea brasiliensis (rubber tree)
Lineage: Eukaryota; Viridiplantae; Streptophyta; Magnoliopsida; Malpighiales; Euphorbiaceae
Source: RNAcentral